UAGAAAUAGAUAUAGAAUUUUUAGAGGUGAUUUGGUGAUGUUUUGAUAUAACUAGAUUCGAAUGGAAACCUCAUAGGGAUUUGGAUGAAUUGAAUUUGAAUACUAAUUCUAGAAAUUUAGAAAAGGAAUAUUUGGAAGUUCUAUUCCUGAGUUUGAAGGAAAGAGGAAAAGUUUCUUAAAAUCAAUCAAAUGCCACACUCAUGUUGGUAUUUUAUGCAAGAUUUAUUUGUAAAAUUGGUU
Molecule: long non-coding RNA, 240 nt
Filed under: Setaria viridis
Lineage: Eukaryota; Viridiplantae; Streptophyta; Magnoliopsida; Poales; Poaceae
Description: long non-coding RNA (SVIR_LNC008867)
Source: RNAcentral